Molecule: ribosomal RNA, 253 nt
Filed under: uncultured bacterium
Lineage: Bacteria
Description: partial 16S ribosomal RNA
Rfam family: Bacterial small subunit ribosomal RNA
Source: RNAcentral
UACAGAGGUCCCAAGCGUUGUUCGGAUUCACUGGGCGUAAAGGGUGCGUAGGCGGUCGGGUAAGUCUGACGUGAAAUCUCCAGGCUCAACUUGGAAAUGGCGUCGGAUACUAUUCGGCUCGAGGAAUGGAGGGGAGACUGGAAUUCUCGGUGUAGCAGUGAAAUGCGUAGAUAUCGAGAGGAACACCAGUGGCGAAGGCGAGUCUCUGGACAUUUCCUGACGCUGAGGCACGAAAGCCAGGGGAGCAAACGGG